Molecule: long non-coding RNA, 947 nt
Organism: Homo sapiens (human)
Lineage: Eukaryota; Metazoa; Chordata; Mammalia; Primates; Hominidae
Product: long intergenic non-protein coding RNA 1020
Source: Ensembl
GCCCCAAAACAGAAAGGAAAGCUCACCACCAGAAUGUGCCUUUUCCUUAUCAAAAAGAAUUGCUGCCCCUUACAGGACAGGAGGACUCCAAUUGUGACCAAGUUGGAGCAGCCUUGAGCCACAACUCAGACUUAUUUUCAUUCUCUGCUCAUUGGCCAUUAGGAACCCGAUCCUUAUGGUAUGUUCACACUGUCUCCAGGCUGGGCACAGUGGCUCACACUUGUAAUCCCAGCACUCUGGAGGCCAAGGUGGGUGGACGGCUUGAACUCAGAGUUUGAGACCACCGUGAGCAACAUGACAAAACGCUAUCUCUACAAACAAUAUAAAAAUUAGCCUGGUGUGGUGGUGCACGCCUGUGGUCCCAGCUACUAGGGGCUGAUGUGGGAGGAUUGCUUGAGCCUGGAAAGUGGAGGUUGCAGUGAGCUGAGAUUGCACCACUGCACUCCAGCCUGGGUGACACAAGGAGACGCUGUCUCAAUGUUGUUGCUAUGAUUUUUCUUUUUAAGACCUGCAGUGACCUGCUGCUACCAGAACUGACUCGCUUCAAAGUGACGGAUGAAACCCAUAUGGAGAUAUUCCUGGGGUGGGUAGGCCAGUUGGAAGACAGAGUGUUUACACCUGAGAGAGGACUUGAGAAUUUUACUCAGUCACGUUGCUCACUGCUGCGCACUCCUGCAGACGCAUCCCAGUGGACUCUGCGCUGCAUCCCCAGAGUACAGCGAGUUUCCCGCCUCCCGUUAGAGAUCCAACACAUAUUUUUUUUGAAAGAAGAAACUGAUGGAAGACAGGAAGCAAAAAGGAGAGGAAGGAAAGGGAUAGGAAGGAGGGGAAGGAAAGGGAAAGGAAGGAAAAGAAAGGAAAGUGAACUUGAAAUCCUACAAGGUCUCAAAGUCAAAAAACAUGUAAGUCAAUUAUCACAGAAAAUAAAAGAACUGCUACAAGGGCAA